UGUCACUUAAGUCCUGUUCCUUUGCCAAUGGGUGGUUUGCUGCUGAUGGGAACCACCAGGUUUGCAGUUGCUGUGACUCAACAUGUGGCCCAGAUGCUGGAGUUGCAGCUUCUCCUCCCUUUGGUGGUGUUCAGUGGCAAGGCAUGGCCUCAUUUGGGCCUGUAGUGGUUCAACAGCAAACAAAGACUGUAGCAGGUGUUUAAUAAAGAGAAAACCUUUA
This is a long non-coding RNA of Puntigrus tetrazona (Sumatra barb), 220 nucleotides long. RefSeq lists it as uncharacterized. The transcript has 3 exons. The record is from RefSeq and is a predicted model, not a curated record. Lineage: Eukaryota; Metazoa; Chordata; Actinopteri; Cypriniformes; Cyprinidae.